GGAGGAAAAGAAACCAACAGGGAUUGCCCCAGUAACGGCGAGUGAAGCGGCAACAGCUCAAAUUUGAAAUCUGGUCCCCAGGGCCCGAGUUGUAAUUUGUAGAGGAUGCUUUUGGCGCGGCGCCUUCCGAGUUCCCUGGAACGGGACGCCAUAGAGGGUGAGAGCCCCGUCUGGUCGGAUGCCUAGCCUCUGUAAAGCUCCUUCGACGAGUCGAGUAGUUUGGGAAUGCUGCUCAAAAUGGGAGGUAUAUGUCUUCUAAAGCUAAAUAUUGGCCAGAGACCGAUAGCGCACAAGUAGAGUGAUCGAAAGAUGAAAAGCACUUUGAAAAGAGGGUUAAAAAGUACGUGAAAUUGUUGAAAGGGAAGCGCCUAUGACCAGACUUGGGCCCGGUGAAUCAUCCAGCGUUCUCGCUGGUGCACUUUGCCGGGCACAGGCCAGCAUCAGUUUGGUGCGGGGGAUAAAGGCUUUGGGAAUGUGGCUCCCUCGGGAGUGUUAUAGCCCAUUGUGUAAUACCCUGCGCCGGACUGAGGUACGCGCAUUGCAAGGAUGCUGGCGUAAUGGUCAUCAGCGACCCGUCUUGAAACACGGACCAAGGAGUCGUCUUCGUAUGCGAGUGUUCGGGUGUCAAACCCCUACGCGUAAUGAAAGUGAACGCAGGUGAGAGCUUCGGCGCAUCAUCGACCGAUCCUGAUGUUCUCGGAUGGAUUUGAGUAAGAGCAUACGGGGCCGGACCCGAAAGAAGGUGAACUAUGCCUGUAUAGGGUGAAGCCAGAGGAAACUCUGGUGGAGGCUCGCAGCGGUUCUGACGUGCGAAUCGAUCGUCAAAUAUGGGCAUGGGGGCGAAAGACUAAUCGACCUUC
This 860-nucleotide ribosomal RNA is filed under the name Lecanicillium praecognitum. RNAcentral's name for it is "partial large subunit ribosomal RNA". It matches the Rfam family "Eukaryotic large subunit ribosomal RNA", at positions 52 to 944 of the family's 3401-position model. Lineage: Eukaryota; Fungi; Ascomycota; Sordariomycetes; Hypocreales; Cordycipitaceae. The record is from RNAcentral.